AUUGAACGCUGGCGGCAGGCCUAACACAUGCAAGUCGAACGGUAACAGGAAGAAGCUUGCUUCUUUGCUGACGAGUGGCGGACGGGUGAGUAAUGUCUGGGAAACUGCCUGAUGGAGGGGGAUAACUACUGGAAACGGUAGCUAAUACCGCAUAACGUCGCAAGACCAAAGAGGGGGACCUUCGGGCCUCUUGCCAUCGGAUGUGCCCGGAUGGGAUUAGCUAGUAGGUGGGGUAACGGCUCACCUAGGCGACGAUCCCUAGCUGGUCUGAGAGGAUGACCAGCCACACUGGAACUGAGACACGGUCCAGACUCCUACGGGAGGCAGCAGUGGGGAAUAUUGCACAAAGGGCGCAAGCCUGAUGCAGCCAUGCCGCGUGUAUGAAGAAGGCCUUCGGGUUGUAAAGUACUUUCAGCGGGGAGGAAGGGAGUAAUGUUAAUACCUUUGCCCAUUGACGGUACCCGAAGAAGAAGCACCGGCUAACUCCGUG
RNAcentral lists this ribosomal RNA (490 nucleotides) under uncultured bacterium. RNAcentral's name for it is "partial 16S ribosomal RNA". It matches the Rfam family "Bacterial small subunit ribosomal RNA", at positions 30 to 507 of the family's 1533-position model. The record is from RNAcentral.